AUAGAUCCUCGUGGUAUGCACAAUCGGUUACUGAAGAACAAGUAUCCAUCCUGUCUAUAAAAUUUCUCACAGGCAAACUUAUGACAUUUGGCAUAGCUCUCAGAAAAAUCAGUAUCAGAUUCAUAAAGAUCUCUAAUGUAUUCAAAUCCAAUCAACUUUGAUGUUAAAGUCGAAAUAAGAGUGUACCUCCGGGAUAAUGCGUCUGCGAC
This 209-nucleotide long non-coding RNA is filed under the name Eutrema salsugineum. Its description in RNAcentral is "long non-coding RNA (ESAL_LNC001418)". Lineage: Eukaryota; Viridiplantae; Streptophyta; Magnoliopsida; Brassicales; Brassicaceae. The record is from RNAcentral.